UAGGGAAUCUUCCACAAUGGACGCAAGUCUGAUGGAGCAACGCCGCGUGAGUGAAGAAGGUUUUCGGAUCGUAAAGCUCUGUUGUUGGUGAAGAAGGAUAGAGGUAGUAACUGGCCUUUAUUUGACGGUAAUCAACCAGAAAGUCACGGCUAACUACGUGCCAGCAGCCUCGGUAAUACGUAGGUGGCAAGCGUUGUCCGGAUUUAUUGGGCGUAAAGCGAGCGCAGGCGGAAGAAUAAGUCUGAUGUGAAAGCCCUCGGCUUAACCGAGGAACUGCAUCGGAAACUGUUUUUCUUGAGUGCAGAAGAGGAGAGUGGAAUUCAAUGUGUAGCGGUGGAAUGCGUAGAUAUAUGGAAGAACACCAGUGGCGAAGGCGACUCUCUGGUCUGCAACUGACGCUGAGGCUCGAAAGCAUGGGUAGCGAACAGG
This 429-nucleotide ribosomal RNA is filed under the name bacterium. Its description in RNAcentral is "partial 16S ribosomal RNA". It matches the Rfam family "Bacterial small subunit ribosomal RNA", at positions 355 to 776 of the family's 1533-position model. The record is from RNAcentral.